GCUUGCAGCAAUGCAGGAUCCUUCAUCCACUGAGUGAGACCAGGGAUCAAAACCACAUCCUCAUGGACACUAUGCCGUGUUCUUAACCCUCUGAGCCACACUGGGAACUCCCCAUCCUCUCCCUCUCAGCCCUUCCCCAGAGCAAGCUCCUGCAUGGCUUCUCAGGGAGCUGAUCCUGAGUAACGUGCCCUGACUGCUGGGAGCACUGGAUGUUGGGCCACCUCCAAACCCUCCCAUUUGCUUAACAUGGCAGGCAAUUCUGACUUUCUUAGUUAGAAACUACUUCGCUGAUUCAUCUCCAAAGCUUUUAUUUGACAAAUAAACAGCUGACCCUGAUGACUUCCAUCCAGGCUGCCACUCAUGGCCUUGGUACUAUGGGAAUCACUUCCUCAAGUAGAAUUUUACUUAGGCUUCACAAUAAAAACUAAUUAGAAAAGCCUGGAUGGGCUCCGGUUUUGUGCCAAGUGCCUGCCCAUCUCCAGAGACACAACAGUGAAAGAGAAGCAUUCUAAUCCGGAUUCAAACACAUGCUGAUGAUUCAUCCUGCCCAAGUUGAUGCACAGAGGGAUUGUUGAACAAAAAGAGGAAACUUAGAACUUUCAUCCCAACUUCCUAUGGAGGUUCCCAGGCUAAGGUUCAAACUGGAGCUGCAGCUGCCGCCACAGCCACAGCCACAGUCACAGCAAUGCAGGGUCUGAGCUGUGUCUGCGACUUACACCACAACUCAUGGCAACACCAGAUCCUUAAGGCAAGGCCAGGGAUUGAACCCGAAUCCUCAUGGAUCCUACUCGGGUUCAUUACAACAGAGCCACAAUGAGAAUACCCUCAUCCCAACUUUUGUUUUACAGAAGAGGAAAAGGAGGUCCCUAUACGUCUCAAGAGCUGAUUCACAUUAGAGGGAGGUCCAGAACCCACAGUACUGAUGCCUGCGCCAUGCUCUUUCCUUCAAUACAUCCAUCUCAUUCAGAAUGAAACUUAACGUAGGGACCCAGCCUAUCUUAUAGAUCACAAAUAGCUCCUUUGUAUCCCUUCAGGUAAGUUAGUUUGUCCCUGUGCUAUACUUUGAAACUCUGUUUUAAUUUGAAAACUGGUGCCACGAAUACUAAAGUCCAUGUAAGGUACAUUCCCUUUAAAGCCCCCAACAGUAAUUGAAGAGUGGUCCCUGAGACCCAGAGUUUAGCUUGCAGUGACUGCCACAGUAUGCGUGGGAACAGUGAACACUCAUACCUCCAACAUUCAAGACAAACCCAGAGAAGAGGAGUGAUAAGCCAAUGUCCACUGAGACCCUGGGGUUAGUGUUUGUACCUUUACCAGGCUAAAGGACUUUUUAGGCUUCCCGUUGAUAUAGUUAAAAUAGUAGCUGCAGUUUAUAUAUAUUUUCAAUGACCUUAUAAAUCAAUAGUAUUCAGUAAUCUUAGCUGAAACUAUAAAUGGUUGCUGGACCCAUUAAAGAUGAAGUUAAGUUAGAUCUUCUAUUUUUUUAAAUGUGGUCCUCCAGGAAGCUGCCUCUGGACAUAAGUACAGAAAAUUAACACAAUAAGUAAAGCAUUAUAGAACAGCUAUUAACUGAUUACACUAAUAAAAACCAAAUGGGGGCCUUAAUUCUGCCCCUCUGGGAGAGCAGGACAGAUAAAAUAAACAACAGGAAAAGAAUAUGGAGUAAAGGAAAUUGAUUUUAAACAAUAAUAAUACAGAAACCUCCCACCAUGUUAAAAAAAAAAUCAGAUCUCUAGCUUCAUUUGGGGAAACAUAGAAGGGAAUUUUCACACUGCCUUAGUAAGACCUAUGUUUGUUACUAAUAAGGGUGUUUUCCAGGCUAACAAAUAGGAAAAAUGAAGGCCUGCUGACACAGACGUCCUUAAAUGACAGUCAUAUGGACACAAGGACUAUCUGCUGUAUUAUCAAAAUGAGGAGCCCUUCCAGUCUCCCUCGGAGGAAGUGGAAAUCUAAACAUUUGGGGCUCAUGCUCCAUCAGGGCGGGACGAACAGUCAGUUCCAGUGAUGGUUGGUAUUCCCUGCCAAAGCCAUGUCAGAGGAGAAAAAAAGAGAACUAAGAAUUUCCACCAUCUUGGGAGGUUGGAGGGGUGCGACUUAAGAACUACAUCCCGGUACAGCACUGCCUGUUGGUUAAAUCCUAAAAUCCUUGAGCAUGCUUGUGGUUCACUCUUUACAGAAAUUUAUAGUAGAGAAAGAGCUUUUCUUUCCAGUUUGUUGUGUAUAACAUGGCCCACAUCCCUGCCUUAAAACCUAGCCAGGAGCUAAGUAAGGGCCCGCCAGGAGCUAAGUAAGGGCCCGCCAGGUGCCCAGUGUCCUCCAAGAUGCCUUACACAUGUUGUCACUCGUUCUUCUAUGAUGCCUGCAAAGCAGGUAGUGAUCCUCAAUUAGUGUUGAAGACAUGGAGGUUCAGGGUGAUCCAGAGACUAGUUCCAGUUCCCACCUUGCAGGCACUCGCACUUCUCCCUCCCCAUAGGCAACCCCGGCUCAAUUGCUGACUGUUAUUCUUUUCCUCACUCUAUUUUCAUAUAUUGUUCGAACCCAUGGAGCCUCUCCUUUUUGCAUGGCAUAUGCAAAAUCCCAGGUUAUUUUUACUUCUCACUGGCAAAAAGUCAGCAAAUUCAAAUGAAAUGAUAAUUUCUAUGUGAGAAAAUAGUUUAGCAUUUUCUUAAAAUGCAAACUUAAAUAUGUAUAUAUAUUACACAAGACUCUAACUUUUAAGUUGGCAGAAAACAGCCUGGUAGUUUCAUGGGACAGCUGAAUACAACGAUAGUGGUUCGGAUGUAAAGUGUUGGUCUGAGACCUGAGGGGGAGCUCUCCCACAGUGAAAUGUGGGUGUUUAGACUAGAAAAGAAGCAUCAGGAGGUAAGAUAUGGGAUUGUAUGUAUAGAAUACUCCUGUGUACAAAAAGGAAAGACUUGCUCAGUGCCAGGCAGAGAGGGCUAGGAGAUAUACAAAGGGACCAGUGAACAGAAGGUUUCAGGGAAGGAGAUUGAAAUUUGAAGCCAUAAACACAUUCUCAAAGCCAGAGCACUUCAAAAAUACAUUGCAUUCAGGCCAUGAUGCUUAGGAGUGAAAUCCCAGAGGUGUUCAGAAUAAAGAAUAUUUUCAAUAAUUCGGAAGUUUGCACUUUUGUAAUAAUAUGGGGCAAAUGAAGAAAUUACAUAAUUCAAAGGAAGGGGACAAAAUGAUCAUUACUGCAGAUGAUAACAUUUACUUAGAUGGCGUAAAAGAAUCAAUUGGCAAACUAUUUGAAUAGGAAAGCAGUAAAGUAGGAAAAUACCAAAUAAAACGCAUAAGUAGAUAACUUUUCUCAGCAAUUUUAAGAUUUAACAGAGAAAUUGUAUUCACAGUAGCAGUGAAUAAAUUUGAGAGUACGCACACUGAGAAACUACAUGAAGAAACUAGGACUGUAGCAGAAGUUCAUGUGAAAAGAUGAAAGAGAAGGCAGGCUUUACUUCUAAAUGAGAAAACUCAAUAUUAAAGCCCAGAUCCUCACACACUAACCUAUCAAUUGUCUUCUCUUACAUUUUGUUUUUUUUAUUUUAUUUUAUUUUUUGCUUUCAUAGGGCUGCACCCACCAGAUAUGGAAGUUCCCAGGCCAGGGUCGAAUCAGAGCUACAGCUGCCAGCCUACACCACAGCCACAGCAACACAGGAUCCGAGCUGUGUCUGUGACCUACAGCACAGCUCACGGCAACACCAGAUCCUUAACCCACUGAGGGAGACCAGGGAUGGAACCCACAGCCUCAUGGUUUCUAGUCAGAUUCAUUUCCACUGUGCCACGACGGAACUCCUUCCCUUACAUUUUGAACUUGAGUUCUUAUGCGCAUAUCCUUAAAUUGUGAUAAUAAAAAAGGAGGAUUGUGGCAAAAAGAGUGAUGGGGACAGAAAGACAACAAAUAAAAAAUUUAAAAUACAGCAGUAGUUCCCAUAACAUACAAUAUUUAGAUUAGUGAGGAAAAGAGGCUCUAGUAAAUAGAUUCUUACCACACAGACCAAAUAUAUGAGAAAUUUAAAUGUUUUUUUAAAAUAAAACUGAGCCACAAAAGCACAAGUAGAAAAUACAGAUUAAUAUUUACCUGCCCCUGGGAUGUGCAAGGCCUUUCUAAACAUAAAAGCAGAGGAAGAAAGGAUAAAUGAAAAUAUGCAUUUACUUAAAUUCAUAAACAUAUACAUUAAAAAUCCUUUAACAGUUAAAAAUCAAAUGAUAAAAUAGAGAGAUGUUUGCAAUCCACAAUAGUGAAAUAAACUUACUAUGCAAAGUUAAUAAACUUACUAUGCAAAGAACUUUUUCAAUUUAAUAUGUAAAGAAUGAACACAAUUAAAAGAGGGAGUUCCCAUUGUGACUCAGUGGAAACAAACUCGACUAGUAUCCGUGAGAACUCGGGUUCGAUUCCUGGCCUCACUCAGUGGGUUAAGGAUCUGGUGUUGCAUGAGCUGUGGCAUAGGUUGCAGACGUGGCUUGGAUCCCGAAUUGCUGUGCUGCGGUGCAGGCCGGCAGCUGUACCUCUGAUUUGACCCCUAGCCUGGGAACUUCCAUAAGCCAUGGGUGCAGCCCUAAAAAAAAAAGGCAAAAAAAAAAAAAAAAAAAAAAA
This 4591-nucleotide long non-coding RNA is filed under the name Sus scrofa (pig). Its description in RNAcentral is "lncRNA (ENSSSCG00000055977.1)". Lineage: Eukaryota; Metazoa; Chordata; Mammalia; Artiodactyla; Suidae. The record is from RNAcentral.